Non-coding RNA from Chelonoidis abingdonii (Abingdon island giant tortoise), 125 nucleotides. Lineage: Eukaryota; Metazoa; Chordata; Testudines; Testudinidae. The record is from RefSeq and is a predicted model, not a curated record.
AAAAACCUCAGACCCAACCUUCAAGAGAAACUAUCUGAGCUUCAGUUUAUCUGCAAAUUGGGACACCAUCAGUUUAGAUUAAACGAAGGACUGUGAAUGGCUUGCCAAUAUAAAAGCAGUUCUCC